This 400-nucleotide RNase P RNA is filed under the name Pseudonocardia sp. Its description in RNAcentral is "RNase P RNA component class A". It matches the Rfam family "Bacterial RNase P class A". From Rfam's summary of the family: Ribonuclease P (RNase P) is a ubiquitous endoribonuclease, found in archaea, bacteria and eukarya as well as chloroplasts and mitochondria. Its best characterised activity is the generation of mature 5'-ends of tRNAs by cleaving the 5'-leader elements of precursor-tRNAs. Lineage: Bacteria; Bacillati; Actinomycetota; Actinomycetes; Pseudonocardiales; Pseudonocardiaceae. The record is from RNAcentral.
CGAGUCGGUCGGGCGACCGCGUCGGGGCCUCCGGGCCUCGUCGAGGAAAGUCCGGACUCCACAGGGCAGGGUGGUUGUCAACGGCAACCCGGGGUGACCCGCGGGAUAGUGCCACAGAGAACAGACCGCCUCCGGAGCGAUCCGGGGGUAAGGGUGAAACGGUGGUGUAAGAGACCACCAGCACCCCGGGUGACCGGGGUGGCUAGGUAAACCCCACCCGGAGCAAGGCCAAGAAGGCCACGCGUGAGCGUGGUUGCGCAGGUGUUCGAGGGUUGCCCGCCCGAGCUUGCGGGUAGGCCGCUGGAGCCUGCCGGUGACGGCAGGCCGAGAUGGAUGGUCGCCGAACGGAGCACCGCGAGGUGCCCGGGAACAGGAUCCGGCUUACAGACCGGCUCGUCCG